RNAcentral lists this ribosomal RNA (482 nucleotides) under uncultured bacterium. Its description in RNAcentral is "partial 16S ribosomal RNA". It matches the Rfam family "Bacterial small subunit ribosomal RNA", at positions 29 to 507 of the family's 1533-position model. The record is from RNAcentral.
AUUGAACGCUGGCGGCAUGCUUUACACAUGCAAGUCGAACGGUAACAGGCCGCAAUGUGCUGCUGAGUGGCGAACGGGCGAGUAAUGCACCGGAACGUGCCCAGUCGUGGGGGCUAACUACUCGAAAGGGUAGCUAAUACCGCACACGAUACAUGGAUGAAAGGCGGGGUCCGCAAGGCCCAGUGAGUUCGGUCCGGCAAAAGCCCGCUUAGUAAGUUGGUGGGGUAAAGGCUCACCAAGCCAACGGACUGGACCGGGUCUCGGCGGACGACCAUCCACCCUGGAACUGAGACGCGGCCCAGACUCCUACGGAAGGCAGCAGUGGGGAAUUUUGGGCAAUGGGGGCAAACCUGAUCCAGCAAUGCCGCGUGCAGGGCGAAGGCCUUGGGGUUGUAAACUGCUCUUUUACGGAGCGAACCGGCUCUGGUUAAUACGCGGGGAUAAUGACGGUACCGGAAGAAUAAGCACCGGCUAACUACGUG